UACGUAGGGGCCUAGCGUUGUCCGGAUUUACUGGGCGUAAAGCGCACGUAGGCGGCUUUGUAAGUUAGAGGUGAAAGCCCAGGGCUCAACCCUGGAAUUGCCUUUAAGACUGCAUCGCUUGAACAUCGGAGAGGUAAGUGGAAUUCCGAGUGUAGAGGUGAAAUUCGUAGAUAUUCGGAAGAACACCAGUGGCGAAGGCGACUUACUGGACGAUUGUUGACGCUGAGGUGCGAAAGCGUGGGGAGCAAACAGG
This 253-nucleotide ribosomal RNA is filed under the name uncultured bacterium. RNAcentral's name for it is "partial 16S ribosomal RNA". It matches the Rfam family "Bacterial small subunit ribosomal RNA", at positions 524 to 776 of the family's 1533-position model. The record is from RNAcentral.